CAGCGCCACGAGUGGGAACUACAAUUAUUGGGCCUAAAGCGUCCGUAGCCGGUUUAGUAAAUUUCUUGUGAAAUUGUUGAGCUUAACUUAACAACGUGCAGGAAAGACUGCUAAACUUGGGACUGGGAGGAGUUAGAAGUAUUUUUGGGGUAGCGGUAAAAUGUUAUAAUCCCAAAGAGACUACCUAUGGCGAAAGCAUCUAACUAGAACAGGUCCGACGGUGAGGGACGAAGGCUAGGGGAGCGAACCGGAUUAGAUACCCGAGUAGUCC
This 271-nucleotide ribosomal RNA is filed under the name uncultured archaeon. RNAcentral describes it as "partial 16S ribosomal RNA". It matches the Rfam family "Archaeal small subunit ribosomal RNA", at positions 477 to 747 of the family's 1478-position model. The record is from RNAcentral.